RNAcentral lists this ribosomal RNA (492 nucleotides) under uncultured bacterium. RNAcentral's name for it is "partial 16S ribosomal RNA". It matches the Rfam family "Bacterial small subunit ribosomal RNA", at positions 29 to 507 of the family's 1533-position model. The record is from RNAcentral.
AGUGAACGCUGGCGGUAUGCCUAACACAUGCAAGUCGAACGGCAGCACAGUAAGCUCUUUCUCUUACGGUUGGCGAGUGGCGGGCGGGUGACGAAUACAUCGGCAUCUUCUUUUUCUUGGGUGAUAACGUAAGGCAACUUACGCUACUACCGCAUAUGUCCUACGGCUGGGAGCAGGGGAUCUUCGCGCCUUUGGCGUUUGAAUUAGCCGGUGUCGGAUUAGCUAGUUGGCGGGGUAAAGGCCCACCAAGGCGACGAUGCGUAGCGGGUCUGAGAGGAUGAUCAGCCACACUGGAACUGAGACACGGUCCAGACUCCUACGGGAGGCAGCAGUGGGGAAUAUUGGGCAAUGGGCGCAAGCCUGAUCCAGCAAUGCCGCGUGAGUGAAGAAGGUCUUCGGGUUGUAAAGCCCUGUUGUUGGGAAAGAACAGCAGCAGGUUAAAACCCCGCUGUUCUGACGGUACCCAAAGAGUAAGCACCGGCUAACUUCGUG